This is a non-coding RNA of Camellia sinensis, 301 nucleotides long. NCBI's taxonomy places the organism in Eukaryota, Viridiplantae, Streptophyta, Magnoliopsida, Ericales, Theaceae. The record is from RefSeq and is a predicted model, not a curated record.
GUCAGAAUGAUGAAGAGUUAUACCAUUGCACGGGUUUGCUUUUCUCCACUUAGAUCUCUUUCAUCGGCUGCUUCCAUGGAUUAGAUUAUGGAUUAAUUUUGUUGGUAAGUUUAGGCAAUGAAGCACUCAGCAAAUUUUAAUACAUUAUUAGGAGUUUAUGCUUUUCGAACAUUAAGAACAAAAUGCCUCUGUAAGAAUGUUUCUCAGUUUUUGUGUAUUGUAUAUAAGCUCUGUGGUUUCUCCAUUGGUGUUACUUUAUCUUGGUAUAUAAAGCUCCGUUGCUUGGAAUUCGCUUGAAUUA